RNAcentral lists this ribosomal RNA (468 nucleotides) under uncultured bacterium. RNAcentral's name for it is "partial 16S ribosomal RNA". It matches the Rfam family "Bacterial small subunit ribosomal RNA", at positions 28 to 507 of the family's 1533-position model. The record is from RNAcentral.
GAUGAACGCUGGCGGCGUGCUUAACACAUGCAAGUCGAACGGAAAGGCCAGUGCUUGCACUGGUACUCGAGUGGCGAACGGGUGAGUAACACGUGGGUGAUCUGCCCUGCACUUCGGGAUAAGCCUGGGAAACUGGGUCUAAUACCGGAUAGGACAAUGGUUUGGAUGCCGUUGUGGAAAGUUUUUUCGGUGUGGGAUGAGCUCGCGGCCUAUCAGCUUGUUGGUGGGGUAAUGGCCUACCAAGGCGUCGACGGGUAGCCGGCCUGAGAGGGUGUACGGCCACAUUGGGACUGAGAUACGGCCCAGACUCCUACGGGAGGCAGCAGUGGGGAAUAUUGCACAAUGGGCGCAAGCCUGAUGCAGCGACGCCGCGUGGGGGAUGACGGCCUUCGGGUUGUAAACUCCUUCCGCUAGGGACGAAGCGUAUUUGUGACGGUACCUGGAGAAGAAGCACCGGCUAACUACGUG